Molecule: long non-coding RNA, 1336 nt
Filed under: Toxoplasma gondii VEG
Lineage: Eukaryota; Apicomplexa; Conoidasida; Eucoccidiorida; Sarcocystidae
Source: RNAcentral
GCCGAGCUACAAAGAGAAAACGAUAAUGGAGGCACCAAAAUGCAUGUCCGCCCGUCCGGAGAGGCCAAUUGCAUGAUAUGUAUUCUAUGCGGCUGUUAAGCCUGAGGGCGUCCGUGCCGAGGCCCUGAACUCGACACCACCACGUCGACUGCUGUCUCUCCAUGUUUUAGGUCCGCUGCAAGAAAAGCUGCUCCUGAUUGGCUUUGCAGAAGACACUUUGGUGUUGAUUCUGCCGGGCAAGAGAAAAACGUGUGCGUGGCGUCACUUCUCUUUCAUGAGGUGUACAACAUAACCGCCCUCUGUUAUCUUCGAUGUGGGAACAAGCUUCGCCGACUGCCGUUGCAGCUAACGGUUUCUGGCCUGUCUCCACUGUAUAGCCGUUCCUUCUUGGUAGACACACGUACCCUAUCCUCGAGAAAACGAAGGCGUGUCGGUACGUGGAUUGGGCCGGUUCAAGAUGGGGUGUGCGCACUCGAAAAAAAGGCGCAAGCAGGGGCCCAAGGUCACCAAAAUGGCGGCCGCCUUCGAGCGUGGCACAGUGGGAAACGAUACGUCACAAGCUAGGAAUGCUACCGCGGAGAGAAGGAUGCGACAGGAGCAGUUGAACAGGCUAAGGAAUCAAAAGACUCAUAAAAUGCGGAAGCAGGCGGCCGCGAAAGAAAUAGCCAACUGUUUCAAGGACAAGCCUCCGACUGGAGGCGGAGCGCCUCCACAGUGCCGAGGACGAGCAUAAUUCGUCAUGUUUGUACAGCUCUUUUUCAACAGGUAUCUCUCCUUUCGUGACAACCAGAGCGAGGUUUUGUGGUCAUCAAGUGUUGGUAAUUUGUUGGAAACUCUUAGCUUCUUGGACACCCCGUGAUUGCACUGCUCUUCGGUUGCCCAAUGAGGGACGCUCAGUAGUUUUUUUUGAUGUCGUUCGAGAUUCUGUUUUAAGAGUUAAGGCUUAAGAACUCGCCCCGAGCCGUCCGAUUGCCAGUAAGAAGUAAUCCCAUACUUAUCAUCGCGAAUGAAGUGUUUUUACGCGCCCAUUUUAGUUCCCGGAGAAUGCAUACUACCUUUGUCUGCAAUUCAAUGCAAGAGGGUCAGUUUCUGGCCAACUGCAGCUUUUCUGGGCGCUCGAUUAGUGUUUUAACGUGCAUUUUCAAGAUAUCCAUAUACUUCCAGAAGAGUUCUAUGUACGGACUCAUAAAGGCAACUACGGUUUGGGUUCGCUGGUUUUGGUGCUGCACAUGUACUCGGUCUUCCUGUGCGGUAUGCUCGUUUUUCGUAAAUUAGUCCCGAGACAACGUUCCGAGGUUCAACAAUUUGCCAAGCAAAGUUGCUCUCUGGGCGCUGC